AUGCCGCCUCGCCGCCGGGGAGGUUCGGGCUACCGCGGCAUCCACGUGCGUCCGUCCGGCAUCUACUCCACCGAGAUUCAGUCGGGCGGCGGCAUGCGCCUCCGUCUCGGAACCUUCGACACUGCCCAGGAGGGCGCCCGCGCGUACGACGCUGCGGCGUGGCCCCUCCCGCGGUCCCGUCAGGACAUGAACUUCGCCGACGUGGCGACACGGGAGCGGGCACAGGAGUUGGCGCCUUUCCCGUGGCUUCUCACCGACGAGGAUCGUCGCAAGCACCGGAGGUGGGAGCAUCAUCUCAGGCUAGCCGAGAUGGAUGAGCAAGCUAUGGCGAUGUGGAGCUAUCGCUUCCGGCACGACAUCAUCAACGAGGAAUGGUUCUUCGCCGAGAGGCGGGCGGAGAGAGCGAAGAGGAGGGAGGAGUGA
Molecule: ribosomal RNA, 423 nt
Filed under: Triticum aestivum (bread wheat)
Lineage: Eukaryota; Viridiplantae; Streptophyta; Magnoliopsida; Poales; Poaceae
Description: partial small subunit ribosomal RNA
Source: RNAcentral